UACGAAGGGGGCUAGCGUUGUUCGGAAUUACUGGGCGUAAAGGGCGCGUAGGCGGCCCCGCGCGUCGAGCGUGAAAGGCCUGGGCUCAACCCAGGAAUGGCGCUCGAUACGGCAGGGCUAGAGUGCAGGAGAGGAUGGUGGAAUUCCCAGUGUAGAGGUGAAAUUCGUAGAUAUUGGGAAGAACACCGGUGGCGAAGGCGGCCAUCUGGACUGCAACUGACGCUGAGGCGCGAAAGCGUGGGGAGCAAAC
Molecule: ribosomal RNA, 250 nt
Filed under: uncultured bacterium
Lineage: Bacteria
Description: partial 16S ribosomal RNA
Rfam family: Bacterial small subunit ribosomal RNA
Source: RNAcentral